UGUGGUUAACAGAAUACCUAGCAUAACAGACACGUAACCAUCAGACACAAACUAAUGUGGAGAUGAUAGAUGAACACCAGAUUCUACUUACACAGAGGCGGGCUAUAUGGCAUCCCAAGUUAAUACCAACGCCUAUAUGGGCAGUUAAAUACCCACAAGGACACCCUCCCCCAUUGUGGCUCCAUAGGGCCGACAAAGACCUCGUUGUGGUCUGAUACACAGUAUCUGACCAAUUUUUUGUACAUAGUUCCCCAGUGGGGAGUUAUCCCUUCACACCCCCGACCUCCCUCUCAUACCC
Non-coding RNA from Pelobates cultripes (western spadefoot toad), 298 nucleotides. The record is from the annotation of a GenBank genome assembly. Lineage: Eukaryota; Metazoa; Chordata; Amphibia; Anura; Pelobatidae.